Molecule: ribosomal RNA, 1257 nt
Filed under: Triticum aestivum (bread wheat)
Lineage: Eukaryota; Viridiplantae; Streptophyta; Magnoliopsida; Poales; Poaceae
Description: partial small subunit ribosomal RNA
Source: RNAcentral
AUGGAGGCCCUCUCUCACGCCGUUCGGAGCGGGACAGAGGCCGGCAUGGAGGUGGAGCAGAUCCUCUCCCUCGCCGCUAACCACGUCAACGACAACGCCGAUCUGGCCUGCCACGCCCUCGCGCAGAGCGGGAUACCAGCCGACGCGGUCCUCUCGGCGGCCAUGAAAACAGGGCUGAAGGCCAGAGAGGAGGUCUACGCCACCCUGCUGGAGCAGCUACUCGCCUCCUUCGCCGAACCAUCGGAGGACACCCAGCUGAGGGAAUGGGGGUGGCCCCCCAAACCCCAGUACUCUUUCACCGAGAAGAGGAGCGGCCCAAGAGUAGACCCCAAGCAGCCCUUCUUCCUCAUCAGCAUGAAGGCGUCCGCCGAGACGGCGCGGAUAUCGUGGUCGAUGAAGAAGUAUCCCCGCUACCCACGGGACCGAGCGUGGCACAAUCCUCUGCGCGUCGCGCGCCUGGGCACGGGAGCCGAGGGGUUUCGUGUAGAGCAGGCAGGGCAAGGCGGGCAGCCGGGCGCCCUCUCCUCCUUCAUCGACGUCACGUACAGCGGGUGGCCGCGCCCCAAGGAGGGCAUCUUCGAGGAAGGCUCCUCCGUGCCUCUCAGGGAGGUCGCCGUCAUCAAGAGGUUGCCUGGUGGUGAUGGGAUUUCUGUCAUGUCCUAUGUUCAUGGACUUGGUGUUAAGCUUGAUGAUAUCCUCCUUGUGUUGCACGUCCCGUCUGCCGCUGUGCCCCUGAGAUUCACGGAGCAGUCCUUCUACGUCUCUGAAAACUUCGAGGAGAUUCCAAUGUAUGCCCCAACUGGUCUUGAUUUCAUAGACAUCAAUGCCCCCGUCAAGAAUCUGAUCAAGAAACUUUACCAGCUGUAUUUACAAGAGGAGCAAGAGAAAAAUAGUAAGCCUGAGAAACAAGGUCAUCGGGGAAGUGAGGAGCUGGUGUACCGGCAAGAGGAGGAGUUCAUGCUCCAAAGACAUGAGACUGAGGAGGAGAAGCUGGAGCGCCUGCGGGGGAGAAGGGAGGAGAGCAAGAAACAUAGAGAUCUACGCAAGGAAAUGAAGGAGGCGGUUCAUCGGAUCAAGGAUGCAGCAAGGACUUCAGAAGAAGAGGAGCAUCAGAAGGAGUAUGACCCAAUGCUUCUGCCCUUCCUAUUUCAGGAAGAAUGUGGUGGUCUGGUGAAACCAUUGGAAGAGCUGAGCCAAAGUGGGAAGAGACACGACGGAUCGCUUGUGGAAGUUGUGGAGCAGCAAGUUAGCUCUUAA